UAGUGGAUUGCUUUAUUUUUAUUUUCUCGAACUGUCAAUAUAGAGUCAUUGUUGCCAUUCUCACCUCUACCUAGCUACUUAUUAAUCUACUCUUUGGAUAGUAACAGGCGACUUAAUUUCCUCUACCUUAGUCAGUUCCUUCUGAUGAUAAAGGAAUGAGUCUCUGAAACUUGCCAAAGAAGGUGGAAAAGAACACAAAAGGGUGAUAGCUUCAUCUUCAUCAUCUAACUUCACUUCUAAAGCCCUG
This 247-nucleotide long non-coding RNA is filed under the name Elaeis guineensis (African oil palm). Its description in RNAcentral is "long non-coding RNA (EGUI_LNC016196)". Lineage: Eukaryota; Viridiplantae; Streptophyta; Magnoliopsida; Arecales; Arecaceae. The record is from RNAcentral.